This 176-nucleotide ribosomal RNA is filed under the name uncultured bacterium. RNAcentral's name for it is "partial 16S ribosomal RNA". It matches the Rfam family "Bacterial small subunit ribosomal RNA", at positions 349 to 507 of the family's 1533-position model. The record is from RNAcentral.
CAGCAGUGGGGAAUUUUGCACAAUGGGCGCAACCCUUGAUCUUGAACGGAGCUGACCGCGUGAGUGAAGAAGGCCUUCGGGUUGUAAAGCACUCUUUUGUCAGGGAAGAACACCGGCUUCUAACAAGUCCUUUUUCUUAGUACGUACCUGAAGAAUAAGCACCGGCUAACUACGUG